CAUAGGUUAAUGAGGCGAACCGGGGGAACUGAAACAUCUAAGUACCCCGAGGAAAAGAAAUCAACCGAGAUUCCCCCAGUAGCGGCGAGCGAACGGGGAGCAGCCCAGAGCCUGAAUCAGUGUGUGUGUUAGUGGAAGCGUCUGGAAAGGCGCGCGAUACAGGGUGACAGCCCCGUACACAAAAAUGCACAUGCUGUGAGCUCGAUGAGUAGGGCGGGACACGUGGUAUCCUGUCUGAAUAUGGGGGGACCAUCCUCCAAGGCUAAAUACUCCUGACUGACCGAUAGUGAACCAGUACCGUGAGGGAAAGGCGAAAAGAACCCCGGCGAGGGGAGUGAAAAAGAACCUGAAACCGUGUACGUACAAGCAGUGGGAGCACGCUUAGGCGUGUGACUGCGUACCUUUUGUAUAAUGGGUCAGCGACUUAUAUUCUGUAGCAAGGUUAACCGAAUAGGGGAGCCGAAGGGAAACCGAGUCUUAACUGGGCGUUAAGUUGCAGGGUAUAGACCCGAAACCCGGUGAUCUAGCCAUGGGCAGGUUGAAGGUUGGGUAACACUAACUGGAGGACCGAACCGACUAAUGUUGAAAAAUUAGCGGAUGACUUGUGGCUGGGGGUGAAAGGCCAAUCAAACCGGGAGAUAGCUGGUUCUCCCCGAAAGCUAUUUAGGUAGCGCCUCGUGAAUUCAUCUCCGGGGGUAGAGCACUGUUUCGGCAAGGGGGUCAUCCCGACUUACCAACCCGAUGCAAACUGCGAAUACCGGAGAAUGUUAUCACGGGAGACACACGGCGGGUGCUAACGUCCGUCGUGAAGAGGGAAACAACCCAGACCGCCAGCUAAGGUCCCAAAGUCAUGGUUAAGUGGGAAACGAUGUGGGAAGGCCCAGACAGCCAGGAUGUUGGCUUAGAAGCAGCCAUCAUUUAAAGAAAGCGUAAUAGCUCACUGGUCGAGUCGGCCUGCGCGGAAGAUGUAACGGGGCUAAACCAUGCACCGAAGCUGCGGCAGCGACGCUUAUGCGUUGUUGGGUAGGGGAGCGUUCUGUAAGCCUGUGAAGGUGUACUGUGAGGUAUGCUGGAGGUAUCAGAAGUGCGAAUGCUGACAUAAGUAACGAUAAAGCGGGUGAAAAGCCCGCUCGCCGGAAGACCAAGGGUUCCUGUCCAACGUUAAUCGGGGCAGGGUGAGUCGACCCCUAAGGCGAGGCCGAAAGGCGUAGUCGAUGGGAAACAGGUUAAUAUUCCUGUACUUGGUGUUACUGCGAAGGGGGGACGGAGAAGGCUAUGUUGGCCGGGCGACGGUUGUCCCGGUUUAAGCGUGUAGGCUGGUUUUCCAGGCAAAUCCGGAAAAUCAAGGCUGAGGCGUGAUGACGAGGCACUACGGUGCUGAAGCAACAAAUGCCCUGCUUCCAGGAAAAGCCUCUAAGCAUCAGGUAACAUCAAAUCGUACCCCAAACCGACACAGGUGGUCAGGUAGAGAAUACCAAGGCGCUUGAGAGAACUCGGGUGAAGGAACUAGGCAAAAUGGUGCCGUAACUUCGGGAGAAGGCACGCUGAUAUGUAGGUGAAGUCCCUCGCGGAUGGAGCUGAAAUCAGUCGAAGAUACCAGCUGGCUGCAACUGUUUAUUAAAAACACAGCACUGUGCAAACACGAAAGUGGACGUAUACGGUGUGACGCCUGCCCGGUGCCGGAAGGUUAAUUGAUGGGGUCAGCGCAAGCGAAGCUCUUGAUCGAAGCCCCGGUAAACGGCGGCCGUAACUAUAACGGUCCUAAGGUAGCGAAAUUCCUUGUCGGGUAAGUUCCGACCUGCACGAAUGGCGUAAUGAUGGCCAGGCUGUCUCCACCCGAGACUCAGUGAAAUUGAACUCGCUGUGAAGAUGCAGUGUACCCGCGGCAAGACGGAAAGACCCCGUGAACCUUUACUAUAGCUUGACACUGAACAUUGAGCCUUGAUGUGUAGGAUAGGUGGGAGGCUUUGAAGUGUGGACGCCAGUCUGCAUGGAGCCGACCUUGAAAUACCACCCUU
This 2018-nucleotide ribosomal RNA is filed under the name Escherichia coli. RNAcentral's name for it is "bacterial LSU rRNA". It matches the Rfam family "Bacterial large subunit ribosomal RNA", at positions 165 to 2207 of the family's 2925-position model. Lineage: Bacteria; Pseudomonadati; Pseudomonadota; Gammaproteobacteria; Enterobacterales; Enterobacteriaceae. The record is from RNAcentral.